UCCGCGGUAGCUCAGUUGGUAGAGCGACUCCCUGUUAAGGAGAUGGUCGUAGGUUCGAGUCCUACCCGCGGAG
This 73-nucleotide transfer RNA is filed under the name bacterium. RNAcentral describes it as "tRNA-Asn". It matches the Rfam family "tRNA". From Rfam's summary of the family: Transfer RNA (tRNA) molecules are approximately 80 nucleotides in length. Their secondary structure includes four short double-helical elements and three loops (D, anti-codon, and T loops). Further hydrogen bonds mediate the characteristic L-shaped molecular structure. tRNAs have two regions of fundamental functional importance: the anti-codon, which is responsible for specific mRNA codon recognition, and the 3' end, to which the tRNAs corresponding amino acid is attached (by aminoacyl-tRNA synthetases). tRNAs cope with the degeneracy of the genetic code in two manners: having more than one tRNA (with a specific anti-codon) for a particular amino acid; and 'wobble' base-pairing, i.e. permitting non-standard base-pairing at the 3rd anti-codon position. The record is from RNAcentral. RNAcentral also lists the same sequence under 2 other names.